Molecule: ribosomal RNA, 468 nt
Filed under: uncultured bacterium
Lineage: Bacteria
Description: partial 16S ribosomal RNA
Rfam family: Bacterial small subunit ribosomal RNA
Source: RNAcentral
GACGAACGCUGGCGGCGUGCUUAACACAUGCAAGUCGAACGGAAAGGCGCUGCUUUUGUGGGGUGCUCGAGUGGCGAACGGGUGAGUAACACGUGAGUAAACUGCCCUUGACUUUGGGAUAACUUCAGGAAACUGGGGCGAAUACCGGAUAGGAGCUCCUGCUGCAUGGGGGGGGUUGGAAAGUUUCGGCGGUUGGGGCUGGACUAGCGGCUUAUCAGCUUGUUGGUGGGGUAGUGGCGUACCAAGGCUUUGACGGGUAGCCGGCCUGGGAGGGUGACCGGCCACAUUGGUACUGAGAUACGGCCCAGACUCCUACGGGAGGCAGCAGUGGGGAAUCUUGCACAAUGGGCGGAAGCCUGAUGCAGCAACCCCGCGUGCGGGAUGACGGCCUUCGGGUUGUAAACCGCUUUCGCCUGUGACGAAGCGUUAGUGACGGUAAUGGGUAAAGAAGCACCGGCUAACUACGUG